AUGUGCGGCAAUAAGGAGGAAUCGCUGUUUCACUCUCUGGUUACAUGCAAUCAUGCCAAACUGUUUUGGAUAGAGGCAGAAGAUUUCUUCGAGUUCAAGAUACCAAAACUACAUCCAGCGACGUGGUCGCGGGAUUUGCUUGAUCCCAGUUUCAUUGGGAGAGACCGGGCGGCUGUCAUUAUAUCAGUCAUGUGGGCAAUCUGGUCAAGCAGGAACAAAUACACCCAUGAGGAAGUCAAAUAUCAGCCCGGGAGAUCGAUGGUCCUAGUGAAGGAACUCAUCCAAGCUGUGUACAUCCCGCCCAAUACAGAGGGGAGGUGUAUUACGAAGGAGAGAUGGAAGCCACCGGGAGCUGGUUGGUUGAAGAUCAAUACGGACGCUGCGCUGGAUGGAAACGGGGUUUCCUCAGCGAUCGGACUAGUGGCACGGGGCCAUGAUGGAGAAUUGAAGCUCGCGAGAGGCCGCAAGCUGCCCGGGGUUACGGACCCGUAUUGUGCAGAGCUGCUAGCUGUGAGGGAGGCUGUGCGUCUGGCUAUGGAGAAGGGCUGGACGCGGGUGAUCGUCGAGACGGACUGCAAGACUGUUAUAAACGAGUAUAUGGCAAUGGAGUGCAGGUCGACGGGUAGCCCAAUCAUCAGCGAGAUCAAAUCCUAUCUCCAACACUUUCAGGGGUUGCAACUAAAAUUUGCUAGUAGAGAUGCCAAUGAGGUUGCUCACUGGUGCGCCAGAGAGAGUCUGGAUAGUGCUUCGAUUGUAAACUUUUUUGAUGUUUUCCCUGUUUCAUUGAUUGCCCUAGCGCAAUUGGAUGUAAACCGUCUUAUUAAUGAAUAA
RNAcentral lists this ribosomal RNA (831 nucleotides) under Triticum aestivum (bread wheat). Its description in RNAcentral is "partial small subunit ribosomal RNA". The record is from RNAcentral. Lineage: Eukaryota; Viridiplantae; Streptophyta; Magnoliopsida; Poales; Poaceae.